UGAGGAAUAUUGGUCAAUGGACGCAAGCCUGAACCAGCCAAGUAGCGUGCAGGAUGACGGCCCUAUGGGUUGUAAACUGCUUUUAUAUGGGGUUAAAGUGGGGAAUGUGUUCCCUUUUGCAGGUACCAUAUGAAUAAGGACCCGCUAAUUCCGUGCCAUCAGCUGCGGUAAUACGGAAGGUUCGGGCGUUAUCCGGAUUUAUUGGGUUUAAAGGGAGCGUAUGCCGUUUGGUAAGGGUGUUGUGAAAUGUAGGAGCUCAACUUCUAGAUUGCAGCGCGAACUGUCAGACUUGAGUGCGCGAAACGUAAGCGGAAUUCAUGGUGUAGCGGUGAAAUGCUUAGAUAUCACUAAGAACACCGAUUGCGAAGGCAGCUUACGGGAGCGCAACUGACGCUGAAGCUCGAAAGAGCGGGUAUCGAACAGG
Molecule: ribosomal RNA, 424 nt
Filed under: Verrucomicrobiota bacterium
Lineage: Bacteria; Pseudomonadati; Verrucomicrobiota
Description: Verrucomicrobia bacterium partial 16S ribosomal RNA
Rfam family: Bacterial small subunit ribosomal RNA
Source: RNAcentral